Molecule: ribosomal RNA, 497 nt
Filed under: uncultured bacterium
Lineage: Bacteria
Description: partial 16S ribosomal RNA
Rfam family: Bacterial small subunit ribosomal RNA
Source: RNAcentral
GAUGAACGCUGGCGGCGUGCCUAAUACAUGCAAGUCGAGCGAACGGACGAGAAGCUUGCUUCUCUGAUGUUAGCGGCGGACGGGUGAGUAACACGUGGAUAACCUACCUAUAAGACUGGGAUAACUUCGGGAAACCGGAGCUAAUACCGGAUAAUAUUUUGAACCGCAUGGUUCAAAAGUGAAAGACGGUCUUGCUGUCACUUAUAGAUGGAUCCGCGCUGCAUUAGCUAGUUGGUAAGGUAACGGCUUACCAAGGCAACGAUGCAUAGCCGACCUGAGAGGGUGAUCGGCCACACUGGAACUGAGACACGGUCCAGACGCCUACGGGAGGCAGCAGUAGGGAAUCUUCCGAAAUGGGCGAAAGCCUGACGGAGCAACGCCGCGGGAGUGAUGAAGGUCUUCGGAUCGUAAAACUCUGUUAUUAGGGAAGAACAUAUGUGUAAGUAACUGUGCACAUCUUGACGGUACCUAAUCAGAAAGCCACGGCUAACUACGUG